GGGGAAAACAAGGAAACAAAACCCCGGCCAGCGGCAAGAGCCCCCGCACCCUCCCGAGCGGCGGUACCUGUCCGGCAGCGGGGCGGCCGGCGCGGCACUUUCCCCCGUUAGAUAAAUUCUGGUAUUUGAAGCUUCAAUCAAUCCUUUUGAGACUACUUGUGCAUUGUUGCAGGACACCGUCUGGGAUUUGAGCAGCAUAACUCACUCCUACACCAUCAUUCUCCAAGCAACUGAAGUUAAUACAGAUUAGAUAGCUACAUUAGCCUACUCAAUAUCAUUUGUUUCAGCGUUGGAUUUAGUGUUUCCUGUGUUGUAAUAACUGCAGUCAUCUACAAGAUUGCAAUGCAGCUACAGAACGACUGCAGAAGGAGCAAGAAGACGAUGACCUAGGUUCUGCAGGGGAACUGCAAGCCGUGACUUACUGAAAAAAUUGAACUUUGCAGGCUGUUCUGUGUGGGCAAUAGAUUGUACCAGGGGCACCACUGAGGCCUGUGCAGGCCAGUGUCAGCAUCAAAUAACUUGCAGGAUCAACACACACCAGAGGAAGAGCUGUGUAACUAAUAACACUGAGGUGAAACUGAAACUGAGACAAAUACCAUACUACCAAAUACAGAAGAAAGCAAUGUCAAAGGAAAACACUUCCUCAGCUGUCUGAAAUGAUCGCAGACUUUUCAUCAAAAGACAUGGAGGAAAACCAAUACAGAGAAAGCACUAAAGAGAGAGUAUCACACUGUGUACUGAAUGAAAGAGGGGGUAGGGCAAAUAAUAAA
Long non-coding RNA from Oenanthe melanoleuca, 770 nucleotides. RefSeq lists it as uncharacterized. The transcript is spliced from 3 exons. The record is from RefSeq and is a predicted model, not a curated record. Lineage: Eukaryota; Metazoa; Chordata; Aves; Passeriformes; Muscicapidae.